This is a long non-coding RNA of Jatropha curcas, 1147 nucleotides long. RefSeq lists it as uncharacterized. The record is from RefSeq and is a predicted model, not a curated record. Lineage: Eukaryota; Viridiplantae; Streptophyta; Magnoliopsida; Malpighiales; Euphorbiaceae.
UGAGCAUAGCAUUUCUAGCUCUUUCUUCCUUUAAAACAAAGCUCAUUGCCUACCUUUUUCCCAUUCACAAACACCAUACCUUUUCACCUUUCUUUGUUUUAUCUCCUCCCAAUCUCCAACAAUAACAUUUAGCUCGCUAGCUAGCUUCACUGUUUUUUAUUUGAAUCUUCUUUUCAAUGUUUUCUGAAUCUUCUCUGUUUGGUUUAGUUGAGGAUUUUGGUGGCUUUGGAUUUCUUCGCUGCAGAGUUUUUUCACCGGCAAUAUUUUUAUCACCUACAACUCCAAUUGGAAUCACAAUUGAACUUGGUAUAUCCCAUUCUAAUGGUUAUGAGGAGAAUAGCCAAACAGCGUAAUUGUUGAACAGUUUUAAUUCAGCCUCAGCUGAAAUUUUAUACAUAUGGCAUCGGUUGAUCUUCAUGCGACUGAUUUUAUGAAGUCAAAACAAGCUAAUGGGAAUAUUCAACUUCGAGUUAAUCUUUUUCUUUUUCUUUUUGGUUGGUUUUUUCUUAAUAUAAUUUUUCAACCACAAAAUUUCAUUAAUUAGAUUUUAUUUUACAAUCUUUUGCUUUCUUCUACUACUCAUUUCACUUGCCUUUGGACUUGAAGAAGAAAAUAAUGACAAAUCUUGUUUUAUUUUAUUCUUUAGCUGCAUUAUUCCAAAUGACAGUGGCUGUGAUUUUAUAUUUUAGAGCAAAAGAUUUGUCUUUAAUUUCUUCCUCGGACAUAUUGUGCAAAGGCAACUGAAGAGAGUAGCAGCAGAAGAAAGCAAAAGACUGUAAAAAAAAUCUAUUGGAAAUUUUCAUGGUCAGAAAAUUAUAUAUUAAGAAUUGUAAACGAGCACCACCAAGAAGAGAAAAACAUUAACUCAAGUUUAAGUUUUCUAUUGGCUUGUAUUUUAUGGGUUCGUAAAAUCAGCACCAAAGAAGAUUAACCAAUGCCGUAUAUCAACAUUUCAGCUGAGUCUGCAUUAAAAACCCUUCAACAAUUAUAGCUUUGGGGCCAUUCUCACCAUAGCCUUAGAAUUCGAUACAUCAAUCUCGAUUGCAAUUCCUACUGGAGUUGUAAGUGAGAAAAAUAUUGCCCUAAAUUUUGCAUGGACAAACCCAAAUUAAACAAAUAAAUAAAUUAUUUUUCUUUUGAUAUCUAA